Anthonomus grandis grandis is the source of this 333-nucleotide long non-coding RNA. RefSeq lists it as uncharacterized. The transcript is spliced from 3 exons. Lineage: Eukaryota; Metazoa; Arthropoda; Insecta; Coleoptera; Curculionidae. The record is from RefSeq and is a predicted model, not a curated record.
AAUAAGACAAACCCAAUACAACAAACAGCAGAUCACCAAAAACAGUAUCAACGAAAAUGUUCGAUGCGCUAAAGAUCGUCCUCCUAUUGGCCAUGGCCGCCUUGACGCUCGGACACCCCACGCCCUACGACGACCACGAGUCAGCUGGAUCAGAACCACACGGGAGGGUGCAGAUAAAGGUGUUCAGGGGUCCAACGGAACAGGACGGACUCGACACUUUCGCCCCUUGGGGAUAUUGGGUCAAGCAACCCUCGGACGACCAUUGAAACCCUCAUUUUGUUAUUUAUAAUUUAUAGUUAGGUUAGUUAAUAAAAAAAAUUAUUAUUAUUAUUA